RNAcentral lists this ribosomal RNA (661 nucleotides) under uncultured Bacteroidota bacterium. RNAcentral describes it as "bacterial SSU rRNA". It matches the Rfam family "Bacterial small subunit ribosomal RNA", at positions 256 to 916 of the family's 1533-position model. The record is from RNAcentral. Lineage: Bacteria; Pseudomonadati; Bacteroidota.
GGUAACGGCCUACCAAGGCAAUGAUGUUUAGGGGUCCUGAGAGGGUGAUCCCCCACACUGGUACUGAGACACGGACCAGACUCCUACGGGAGGCAGCAGUGAGGAAUAUUGGUCAAUGGGCGAAAGCCUGAACCAGCCAUCCCGCGUGCAGGAAGACGGCCCUAUGGGUUGUAAACUGCUUUUCCAGGAGGAGAAACUCUCGUACGUGAUACGGGAUUGACGGUACCCUGGGAAUAAGCAUCGGCUAACUCCGUGCCAGCAGCCGCGGUAAUACGGAGGAUGCAAGCGUUAUCCGGAUUCAUUGGGUUUAAAGGGUGCGUAGGCGGACUAUUAAGUCAGUGGUGAAAUCCUGCAGCUUAACUGCAGAACUGCCGUUGAUACUGAUAGUCUUGAGUUUGGUUAAGGUAGGCGGAAUGUGUAAUGUAGCGGUGAAAUGCUUAGAUAUUACACAGAACACCGAUUGCGUAGGCAGCUUACUGAGCCGACACUGACGCUGAGGCACGAAAGCGUGGGGAUCGAACAGGAUUAGAUACCCUGGUAGUCCACGCCGUAAACGAUGAUUACUCGCUGUUGGCGAUACACUGUCAGCGGCUAAGCAAAAGCAAUAAGUAAUCCACCUGGGGAGUACGGCCGCAAGGCUGAAACUCAAAUGAAUUGACGG